Molecule: long non-coding RNA, 1830 nt
Organism: Megalobrama amblycephala (Wuchang bream)
Lineage: Eukaryota; Metazoa; Chordata; Actinopteri; Cypriniformes; Xenocyprididae
Exons: 4
Source: RefSeq, a predicted model, not a curated record
CAUUUUCCCUGGGAAAACAACUUCUAAGUAGAGACACCAAGACAAAUAGGCCUAUUCGAAGAGCUAAACCGACCCUUUCCACAUGUCUGGGUUUCUCGAAGCGGAAGCUGUCAUAGUUGGGUAAAAUUCUAUGGUGAUGAAUGAGAUAAUACAUUAAAUAUAUUUUUUGUGUCCCCGUUUUCUCAAAUAGCAAAAGAAACAAUAACAACGUUUUCACAACUUUCAAAAAUAAGUAGAUUUUUUUUUUUAAUUUGAUGAAAAUGUAAUACAAAACUAAGUAUAAUGUUGUAAAUGUAGGCUACAUACACUUAAAAAAAUGAAAAUAUAAAAAACUUUGCAAGAUGCUGAUGACCAUUAAAACGCGUCACAGUCUGCAAAAAGGGUCCAUAAAACAGGUUUCAUUUUACCGUGAAAAAGGCCUGACGAAAAUGUUUCUGUCCUACAUGAAAAUAUAGCUAGCCUGCAUUUUAAUUAAGUAAUGCAAAAACACUGCUUCGUGGACAGUACAUUAAAGUUAUUCAAAUAUCAUAAACAGAUCUCUUCUACUGAUCCAGACAGCGUCUCCGUUCCGGAUUCAAACGCUUUAUCACCUUCUCACUUGAGAGCGCAAGCUGCGGUAUUUCUGACACUCCUCAGCUAAUUACCCCGACAGAAAUGCGUCAAUAACUCAUUAAUUGGACCCAGCGUUGCUGUUGGAGGAGCAUCACCUGCGCGUGUCUGUCACACAGGUCGGUUAAUUGAUUUCGGCAAGCGGGGAGCAGGUGUGUGAACAGCGCCAUAUAAUGCGGAACUAAUCCGAAUCGUCCAUCCGCUAUCGAUUAAGCAGCCUGAGACAAACUGAUAAGACUCAGGCUACAACAGGAAGCUUGCGCUGCAGACUGUAGUGAAUUCACUCAGGACCGUUUGCAGAGGCUGAGGAUUACAGGACCACGGUUCUACUGAAGAAAAAAGUCAUCUACAUCUUGGAUGACCAGAGGCUUUGUUUCAGAUUGACUUUCAUAUCAAGGCAAGCACUGAUCAUACAGAUCAAAGCAGUAUCAGUCUGAAGUCUGCGGUGAGCUCUUGAGUGAAUUCUCAAUGGAAGUUUCUCUGUCUCUCUGGAGCGUGUGGUGGACUCCAGUAAGUGUGAAAAGUGGGAUAAUGACAAACGUGUGUGAGGAGAAACCCAGUGUGAAGACUUGGGAGUCACAAGGAGAGAGGUGCGAGAGGAAAGCGUGAAUGGACCGGUUCAACUACAGUGUGUGAGGCAAGGGACAAGACGGAUAGAAACCUGCAUUGCUAUAGUUUUCUUUACAGAUUCCAGGAGUGACGUAUUCGAUAUUUGGACUUUGUGGUUUCAUAAAUUUAAGAUAUUUCACACGCAUAUAAUCGCACCCGCACCGACACUCAACUACAGUUCAAGUGAAAUGACCAGUUAUACCUGUUAGCACCGGUCACACCCUAAAGCUUUUAAUUCUGCUUGCAGCUAUACUGUUUCCUCUGGGAUGUGGCUACAGUUCCUUCUCAUAUGACGGCACUGCCUUAAUACUAACAGAGGAUGUCAUCUCAUAUGAAGUCUGGUCCACAUUGCAGCUUUUUCUAAUCAGGAACAGCCCACACUGACAGGAAGACGGUCCUUUUAACCGACAACCACAGUUUGUUGGUUUUGUGGAAUGUUUAGAGGAAGGGAAAUAUGAAAUUGGAUACAGUCAUGAAAUAUGCAGCCACAGAUAUCUUGUUUACUUGCUUCUAAGUGUCUCAAACAAAACUAUUUCUCUCAUUUCCUUAACCCUCACGGUCCUCAUUUCUUUUACACGCAUUUACAGAGCGACUGUAUAAAAAAUAAAACAU